RNAcentral lists this non-coding RNA (255 nucleotides) under Gongylonema pulchrum. RNAcentral's name for it is "Eukaryotic small subunit ribosomal RNA". It matches the Rfam family "Eukaryotic small subunit ribosomal RNA", at positions 57 to 271 of the family's 1831-position model. The record is from Rfam by way of RNAcentral. Lineage: Eukaryota; Metazoa; Nematoda; Chromadorea; Rhabditida; Gongylonematidae.
GUAUGGGUAGGAACAGUACCGCGAACGGCUCAUUAUAACAGCUAUAAUGUGCUUGAUCUUGAUUAUCCAACGUGGAGAACUGUGGUAAUUUUAGAGCUAAUACAUGCACCAAAGCUCCGGCUUAUGGACGAGCGCUUCUAUUAAAUUAAAACCAAUCGAGGCAACCCGUUCAUUGGUGUCCUUUAUAUAGGAAAUAUUAGGCGGAAUUGGGCAAAUGUACUAUUUCAGUCUAAAUUUAAAAAGUUUUGCCAAGAG